UUGGAGAGUUUGAUCCUGGCUCAGGAUGAACGCUGGCGGCGUGCCUAAUACAUGCAAGUCGAGCGAACAGAUAAGGAGCUUGCUCCUUUGACGUUAGCGGCGGACGGGUGAGUAACACGUGGGUAACCUACCUAUAAGACUGGAAUAACUCCGGGAAACCGGGGCUAAUGCCGGAUAACAUUUAGAACCGCAUGGUUCUAAAGUGAAAGAUGGUUUUGCUAUCACUUAUAGAUGGACCCGCGCCGUAUUAGCUAGUUGGUAAGGUAACGGCUUACCAAGGCAACGAUACGUAGCCGACCUGAGAGGGUGAUCGGCCACACUGGAACUGAGACACGGUCCAGACUCCUACGGGAGGCAGCAGUAGGGAAUCUUCCGCAAUGGGCGAAAGCCUGACGGAGCAACGCCGCGUGAGUGAUGAAGGUCUUCGGAUCGUAAAACUCUGUUAUUAGGGAAGAACAAAUGUGUAAGUAACUGUGCACGUCUUGACGGUACCUAAUCAGAAAGCCACGGCUAACUACGUGCCAGCAGCCGCGGUAAUAA
Molecule: ribosomal RNA, 540 nt
Filed under: Staphylococcus sp.
Lineage: Bacteria; Bacillati; Bacillota; Bacilli; Caryophanales; Staphylococcaceae
Description: bacterial SSU rRNA
Rfam family: Bacterial small subunit ribosomal RNA
Source: RNAcentral